Molecule: ribosomal RNA, 410 nt
Filed under: uncultured microorganism
Description: bacterial SSU rRNA
Rfam family: Bacterial small subunit ribosomal RNA
Source: RNAcentral
CAGCCGCCGCGGUAAUACGUAGGGGGCGAGCGUUGUCCGGAAUUAUUGGGCGUAAAGCGCGCGCAGGCGGUCCCUUAAGUCUGAUGUGAAAGCCCACGGCUCAACCGUGGAGGGUCAUUGGAAACUGGGGGACUUGAGUGCAGAAGAGGAGAGCGGAAUUCCACGUGUAGCGGUGAAAUGCGUAGAGAUGUGGAGGAACACCAGUGGCGAAGGCGGCUCUCUGGUCUGUAACUGACGCUGAGGCGCGAAAGCGUGGGGAGCAAACAGGAUUAGAUACCCUGGUAGUCCACGCCGUAAACGAUGAGUGCUAAGUGUUAGAGGGGUUAAACCCUUUAGUGCUGUAGCUAACGCGUUAAGCACACCGCCUGGGGAGUACGGCCGCAAGGCUGAAACUUAAAGGAAUUGGCGGG